This 701-nucleotide ribosomal RNA is filed under the name Microcosmus sulcatus. Its description in RNAcentral is "small subunit ribosomal RNA". The record is from RNAcentral. Lineage: Eukaryota; Metazoa; Chordata; Ascidiacea; Stolidobranchia; Pyuridae.
AAAUAAUUUAUUAUGUUAUGGGAGUAGGCGAUUAGGAUAAAAUUAUACUUAAGAGUGAGUAAGAAAAUUAAGAUAGUUGAUAUUUAGCAAUGAGAAAGAUAAAUUUAAUCUAAGUGGUUCUAAUAUUUUUUGUAAAAUACAGGUGCCAGUAUUCACGGUUAUACCUGAGAAAAGUGUUUAUUAAUUUAGUGGUAGUUUAGUGGAGAGAUUUAAUUGAUAUGAAGUGUGGUAAAAUAAGUUCUUCAUAUUUUUAAUUUAAGUAAGGUAAUCCUGAUUGACGAACCAGAUUAGGUACCUGGGUAGUAGGUUAUAAUGUGGAUAAGUUUUAAGUGAAAUAAAGUUAAAUAAUUAGGCGGUUCUGUUUAUAUAGGGGAGCUUGUUAUUUUGCCGAUAAUCCGCGUUUAAUGUUUUGUGAAAAAGAAUUAGUGUAUGUCCAUUUAUUAAACAACUAAUAAUUAGUAUGUUUAAGUAUUUUAGGUCGCCAUGCUUUGUUUUAUGAAUUUAUGAGCUACAAUAUAUAUUAUGUGUGAGAAAUAAAAUGAGAUUUUUUUUAUUUAAUGGGACUUAUUAGUAAAUAAAAAAUAAAAUGUUUUAUUGAAGAGAUUAAGCAGGGAGCACUCACCGCCCGCCACCUAAUUAGUAACUGUUAGUAAGGCGUAACAAGGUAGUUUUUCUAGAAGGAUAAACUGGAUUUAUUAAUU